UAUACAGGCAUAUCCCAAAGUUAUGUCACCUUUUAAGUUCCAGAAUUAUUCCAUAACUCAAAUGUUCAUAAAUUGGAGCACCUGUCUUUUUUUCACUUAUCAGUAUAUGUAAUGCACUGCAGUUGUCAUGCACAUGUAUAAUUAACAUUAAUGAAGCAUUUACAACUAAAGAAAUACUGUAGGCUUUAUUUUGAGAAAAUAAAGCAUUCUCUCUUUUCUCAAAAUAAGGUCUACAGCUGCUGCUGAAGAGCCAUAACUCCAAAUUAAACACCAAAACUUUGGGGAAUGGCAGCAAUUUAGAAUGUAAGUCCAAAGUGCCAUGAAUGGAGGAGUCAUAACUUAGGAUGUGACUGUAAAGUUUGAUCAUUUAAGAAUUCACCAUAAAUUUAUUUAAUCAACAUUAAAUUAAUAUACUAUAAUAAUACACACAGAUUGAUGAAUUUAUGCUUAAUAAAUUUCAAAUGAUAGAUUGUUUAAUAAUAUAGAAUUACCAAUAUAUAGGCUGGCCAAAAUUUAACUCCUUUCACACUUCUGUGUAGAAAUAUUUUUGGCCAACCUAGUUGAUCAGAAUUGCAAAAACAAUUUUAUUUAAAAACCAGAAAUUAGAAACAGUAAUGGUAUUAAUGAUCAUCUGUAAAAAUAUGAUGUAGAAUAAUAUCUGUAGUGGAGUUGACACAUGAUCCCAAUUGUGUACACAAUGCUGCCAACCAUUUGGGCAUGUGUCAAAAUGACUCAGCUAGCAACUUUGACAAAGGCUUCCUACUGCAAACUAAUUAUACACGCAUUGAGAUCAACAAGAAUGCGUGUCCAGAGGAAAACAGUUAAAUGGAGUGAUGGCUGUGCCUCUCGAAUCUCCACGUAUACAGCAAAUCAAAUAACAAAGAACGAUGCACCGACUCAGCUGGCCAAUCGAUCAAAAAUUGAAAUGCAAGGUUUUAAUUUUAACAGCUUCCAAAUAAAUAUCUAAAAUUUUAAAUGUAUUUAUUGACAGAUGGCACCUGUGUUUUUAUUUUUAAACUGCACUUUAAAGCUAAUAAAAAAAAUUAAAAAUUCGUAGCUAUAUAAAGUUGCCUCCCAAUUUAGGAGUUCUUGGAUUUGCCAGUACUUUUUCAGGUAUGAAGCGUAAAAAAAUUGAAAGUAUGAACAUUAAUUGCAAUAAAUAAAUACUAAACAUUCAUAAAAGG
This 1184-nucleotide long non-coding RNA is filed under the name Androctonus crassicauda. The record is from RNAcentral. Lineage: Eukaryota; Metazoa; Arthropoda; Arachnida; Scorpiones; Buthidae.